RNAcentral lists this long non-coding RNA (8765 nucleotides) under Salmo salar (Atlantic salmon). Its description in RNAcentral is "lncRNA (ENSSSAG00000087701.1)". Lineage: Eukaryota; Metazoa; Chordata; Actinopteri; Salmoniformes; Salmonidae. The record is from RNAcentral.
CUUUGUUCUGGGCCUGACAUCUGGCGCUCUCUUCCUCUCUGGCCUCUAGUUGUUCCUGAAGCGCUGUAAUUCAAUUACUAAUGUUAAAAAAUUAUUAGAUAUAUAAAAGGUACAUAUUCAAAGAGUGUAUGAGUCAUAUUUUAAUAAGUUAAUGAUAUGUUAAAAAAAUCAAUAAAAUAAUGAUAUAUUUAUUAUGCUUGAUGAAGUCGAAACACUCACCAGUAACAUCAGCAGCAUUUUCAUUGAAUUGCUGAGAUGCAGCAUUUUGUAUGUCUCUGAGUUUCCUUUGUAGAUGAAGAAUUUGCAUAACUUCGAGUACAAAAUAAAGUAGUGAGUUACAGUAUUUUAAAGUGGCACUAAAUAAAUAAACGUUAUCAUGGAAUUUUUAGAUAAGUCUUUGUUCUGUUGAGAACAAGGUAAAAAAGUACUUAAGCAGCAUGUCCAUUAUAUUCAAAAUAUGCAGUGGGCCAUUUUUAAAACAGUCGUUGGCUAUUUCAGGUUCCUAUAGUAACUCACUCAGGUAAGAAUUAUUGCUGUCUUUCUUCUUCAGUCUUUUUAUGUUCUCCUCAAGCUGCUUCUCGCUUUCCUUAAGCUGUGUUGUCAGCUCUGAGAGAUGGAAUUUAAAAGGUCAUGUCCCAACCUGAGAAAUCUGACUUUAUCAUAAUUAAUUCUACUUUGGGCUCUUUUCAAUCUGUAUCACUGAAGCAUUCAGAUUGCGCGCUAGAAAUGUAAAGGUAAUUUCUGAUUGAGCCGACUUAUGCAGUAUUUACCAUGAAUGCUGACACAAACAUUGCCUUUAAAUUUCAAUCAAGUUGUAAAGCUGAAUUUCCGCAAUACGGAUUGAAUAUAUCCCUUUAUUUAUAUACAGUACCAGUCAAAAGUUUGGACACACCUACUAAUUCCAGGGUUUUUCUUUAUUUUUAAUAUUUUCUACAUUGUAAAACAAUAGUGAAGACAUCAAAACUAUGAAAUGACACAUAUGGAAUCAUGUAGUAACCAAAAAAGUGUUAACCUGUUUGGGAUAGGGGGCAGUAUUUUCACGGCUGGAUAAAAAACGUACCCGAUUUAAUCUGGUUACUACUCCUGCCCAGUAACUAGAAUAUGCAUAUAAUUAGAUUUGGAUAGAAAACAUUCUAAAGUUUCUAAAACUGUUUGAAUGGUAUCUGUGAGUAUAACAGAACUCAUAUGGCAGGCAGAAACCUGAGAAAAAAUGCAACAAGGAAGUGUGAAAAUCUGAGGUUUGUAGUUUUUCAAGUGAUUGCCUAUACAGUAUACAGUGACUUAGGGUUCAUUUUGCACUUCCUAAGGCUUCCACUAGAUGUCAACAGUCUUUAGAACGUUGUUUCAUGCCUCUACUGUGAAUAGGGAGAGAAUAAGAGCUCCUGGAAGUAGAUGAGUGAGAAAAUGACAUGAGUUCAGUGGCACGCGCUCACAUGAGAGUUAGCUGUGUUCCUUUUCUUUUUUGAAGACAAAGGUCUUGUCCGGUUGGAAUAUUAUGGAAGAUUUAUGAUAAAAACAUCCUAAAGAUUGAUUCUAUACAUCGUUUGACAUGUUUCUACGAACUGUAAUAUAACUUUUUGGACUUUUCGUCUGAACUUAAUGCGCGAGCACAGCGCAUUUGGAGUACUCGACCGAACGCGCGAACAAAAAGGAGGUAUUUGGACAUAUAUAUCGACUUUAUCGAAACAAAUUAACAUUUAUUGGGGAACUGGGAUUCCUGGGAGUGCAUUCCGAUGAAGAUCAUCAAAGGUAAGUGAAGAUUUAUAAUAUUAUUUCUGAGUUUUGUUGACUCCACAAAAUGGCGGGUUUGGUUUCGUGUCUGAACGCUGUACUCAGAUUAUUGCAAAGUGUGCUUUCGCUGUAAAGUUGUUUUGAAAUCUGACACAGCGGUUGCAUUAAGGAGAAGUGUAUCUAUAAUUCUUUGAAUAACAGUUUAAUAUUUUAUCAACGUUUAUGAUGAGUAUUUCUGUAAAUUGAUGUGCUCAUUCACCGGAAGUUUUGGGAGACAAAACAUUUCUGAACAUUACACACCAAUGUAAAAUGUUUUUUUUGGAUAUAAAUAUGAACUUUAUCGAGCAAAACAUACAUGUAUUGUGUAACAUGAAGUCCUAUGAGUGCCAUCUGAUGAAGAUCAUCAAAGGUUAGUGAUUAAUUUUAGCUGUAUUUCUGUUUUUUGUGACGCCUCUCCUUGCUUGGAAAAUGGCUGUGUGGUUUUUCUUGUCUAGGUGCUGUCCUAACAUAAUCUAAUGCUAUGCUUUCGCCAUAAAGCCUUUUUGAAAUCGGACAAUGUGGUUGGAUUAACGAGAAGUUCAUCUUUAAAAUGGUGUAAAAUAGUUUUAUGUUUGAGAAAUUUGAACUAUGAGAUUUUUGUUGUUUUGAAUUUGGCGCCCUGCUAUUUCACUGGCUGUUGGCAGUGUGUCCCGCCGGUGGGACGCUAGCGUCCCACAUACCCCAGACAGGUUAACUGUGAAAAUGGCAACCAUUGGUCGAGUACCAAAGUUUGAGUCUACAAAAGAGGAUUUGAAUUCCUAUUUAGAGCAUUUUGAGUGUUGGCUGAAAUCAAAGAUGAAAAGAAAGCAGACGUAUUUCUCAGUGUUUUGGGUACAACUGAGUAUGGAUUUCUGAAAGGUCUCAUUGAACCAAUAAAAGCAGUGGAGUUGACCUAUGCAGAACUGACUGAAACUCUUUCAAGGCAUUUCAAGCCUAAGCCAAUUCUCAUUGCAGAAUGUUUCAGAUUUUACCAACGUCACCAGAGUCAAGGGGAAACCGUGGCUGACUACAUCCUUGCUUUGAAAAGGCUGGCAAGUACAUGUGAUAGAGAUAAUCAUCAGCACAGUGGAUGUCGAUUCCAAAAUGAAAAGUGCCACAAUUGUGGAAAGGUUGGACAUUUACAGAGUGUGUGUAAAGCUCCAAAACGCACAGCAAGAGCGCACAAGGUGUCAGAUGCAGCACAAGAAGAGAAAGGUAAAACUGAAACAGUAUUGGAACUGUUCACAGUGUACACAGCUCAACAACAAAAAGAUGUAAUCUAUCUCAGCAUGGAGUUAGCGGGAAAACCAGCAAAAAUGUAGCUGGACACUGGAGCGUCUGUAUCUCUUGUUCCAGAGAGACUCUACAAAGAAAAACUGAAAGAGUGCCCUCUUCAGCCAGCGUCCAUCUGCCUUUCUUCAUACACUGGUGACACUAUUCCUGUGUUAGGGCAGAUCCAAGUACCAGUCCGGUAUGAGAGAAAGGAGUGGACGCUACCGCUUGUCAUUGUUAAAGGAGAAAAAUCAGCCUUGCUAGGCAGAAACUGGCUCCAAAAGAUCAAGUUGAACUGGGGAGAAAUCUUCAGUCUGAGAAAUGACAAACCAGUGAGUCAGGCUACACUCACUAACAUGCUGGAGAAGCACAAAUAACUUUUCAAAGAUGGCUAAGGCGAAAUACAAGACUUCACAGCAAAAGUCAGAGUGCAAGAAGGAACCAAGCCUAUCUUUCACAAACCACGUCCAAUUCCCUAUGCUCUGAAGGAAGAAGUAGAGAUGGAACUGGACCACGUACAGAAGAAUAACAUCAUCACAAAAGUAGAGGAGCGACUGGGCCGCUCCGAUCGUUGUAGUCCCAAAGACCGUCAGAAUGUGCGGAGACUACAAGGUCACAGUAAAUCGCUGCAUACUAACAGAGGAAUAUCCACUACCAAACGCUGUAGAUCUGUUUGCCACUCUAGCUCGUGGGAAGGUUUUCAGUAAGCUGGACCUGUCAUUCGAUUAUCAGCAACUGAAGCUGGAUCCGGAGAUAGAACAGUAUCUGACCAUCAAUACACACAAGGGGCUAUUCAGAUUCAAUCACUUGGCCUAUGGAAUCUCAACAGCUCCAGCAAUAUUCCAACACACAAUAGAUCAGAUCUUGGUCCCCACAAUGCGAAGAAGCAUUCAAGACUUGCAAACAGCGUCUGCUAAAGAGCAAGUCGCUUGCCCAAUACGACACAGAGAUGAAGCUGAGACUUGCGUCUGAUGCAUCUCCAUAUGGAGUAGGAGCCAUCAUCUCACAUGUUCUACCGUCAGGUGAAGAACACCCUAUUGCAUUUGCAUCACCAAGUGAGAAAAAUUAUGCUCAAAUUGAGAAGGAAGCCCUGAGCAUAAUAUUCGGAGUGAAGAUGUUUCACAAAUACCUCUACGGAAGAAAGUUCCAACUACCUACAGAUCUGUCACGACUCCUACCGAAGGUGGCUCCCCCUCCUGCUCGGGUGGCGCUCGGCGGUCGUCAUCACCGGCCUACUAGCUGCCACUGAUUCCCUUUUUGUUUUCCCCCUUUUCGUUAUUAGGUGCACCUGUUCUGAGUUGGGCUGAUUAGCAGGCUUUGUUAGCCAGUAGGCCUGCCUGCUCUUUGUGCGGGAUUAUUUCAUUGUAUGCGGUGCGUGGUGACACGCUGUUUGUUGUACAUUUUCAGUGGUGCGUGUGUUUUGCACAAGCUGUGUUUUUUUCCCUUUUGUUUGGGGCACUUUGUUUUGUAGUGCGCUCUGUGCGCUGUUUGGGUUGGCUUGUAGUUUAGUCAUUGUGCCUAUUAAAGCCAAUACCCUGAAUCGCUGUUUUCCUGCACUUGAUUCCUCGUCAGCAAACACCCACGCCUUACAAGAUCACAAGCCUCCUUGGACCAAAAUCAGCCAUACCAACCCUUGCUGCACUUCGAAUGCAACAUUGGGCUCUGUUUGUCUUGUGUAGUUUCUUAAUCAUUGUACCUAAACUGUAUGUGUAAACAUGUAUUCGCAGGGCCCAGCUGUAAAAUAUACCUUGGUCUCAGUCUGUGUUCCUUGUUGAAAUAAAGGUAUAAUAUUGCUAGCCUACAACUAUGAGAUCGAGUACAGAUGAUCCAGUGAUCACGCAAAUGCAGAUGCACUAUCAAGACUACCAUGCAAUAGUGACUCCGACAGUGAAGAAUGAUAGAGCAGUCUUCCAGAUCUCUCUUAUCGACGAACUGCCCAUAUCUGCUUUAGACAUAGCAGAGGAAAUGAGGAAAGACCCAGUGCUUAGGCAUUAGGCAGUUGGCCAACCUUCGUAAAUGACGAUAACCUUCGUCCAUUCAUCGACAAGAAAGACCAGUUGUCUACUGAUCAAGGAUGUGUUCUGUGGGGAUCAAGGGUGGUGGUAACUCACAAAUUCCAGAGGAGACUGCUAUCUGACCUGCAUGAGGGACUUCCAGGGAUCACUCGAAUGAAAGCACUCGCCUGCAGUUAUCUGUGGUGGCCUGGACUGGAUCAGGACAUUCAGCAGCAUGUAGGCCACUGCUCACCUUGUGAAGCUGUUUGAAACAAGCCUGCUGCUGCACCUCUUCAUCCAUGGUCCUGGGCUGCUACACCAUGGGAAUGCAUCCAUGUGGAUUACGCCAAUGUUGACAAACAACAUUUCCUUGCUGUGGUCGAUGUCCAUUCCAAGUGGAUGGAAGUGUUCCCUACUCAAUUGACCACAGCUGAGAAGAGUAUCAAUCUUCUCAGACACCUGUUCGCAUCCUUUGGACUAGUCAAGGAGCUCGUAUCGGACAAUGGCCAUCCUUUCACGUCAAACGAUUUUGAAAUGUUUCUCAAGAACAACGGAGUAAGGCACAUCCUGUCACCACCUUACCAUCCGGCAUCAAAUGGAGCAGCGGAGAGAGCCGUGCAAACCUUUAAGAAGGCCUGGACUAGACUCAAGGUUCAGUCUGUGCCCACCCAGCAAAGGCUUCCCCGUUUCCUGUUUACUUACCGUAACACACCACACACAGUAACGGAACAUACACCAGCUGACCUGUUUCUGAAAUGCCAAACACGUACCCACCUGACAUUGAUGAAACCAGACUUGUCAAGCACUGUGGCAAAGCACCAGCUACAGCAGAAGAAAGCUCAUAACAGACACUCAAAGACUGUCAGAGAAUUCAAAGAGGGAGAGAGAGUGAUGGUACAUGAUUUCAGACACCCCAAGCACCUGUGGAACUCAGGUGUGAUCUUGCAACGCAGAGGACCUUUGACUUACCAAGUUGGUCAUCGCCAUGUCAACGUUCAUGUGGAUCAUCUGCUGUGGUCCAACACCCCAGCAGAGACAUGCCAAGAAAACAAGAACAAUAACGACCCCCAGGACUAUUCUCCUGAAUAGUGGACGUACGGAAGAGACAGAGCCUGAUCUUCCACCAGAACCUGGCCCACCAUCGGAAGCCCAGUAGGAGCGGAGAUAUCCUAUUUGACAGCAAAGGGCACCUCAAAAGCUUGACCUGUGAGUUGAGCUGUUUCAGGAGGUAACAGACAGUAAAACAAAGAAACACUUUAAUAUGUCCUAGAUAAAAGGAAAGAAAAAGGACAUUACCUGGGUUAGUUAUUAGGACACAAACUCCAUCUUCAGGGCAGAAUAAUCCCCUGGAUUUGUCCUGGGCUCUGAAAGACUGCUUCAACCCAGUAGUUGAAAAAUGUUUAAGAAUGCAUUGUUCAGAUAUUGCAUUAGUAGUUCCCUAACGUAUUUACCUUGUUCUCUGGGAGUUAAUCACUAUGGGGGAGGAGUGUCGUAUCUGUGAUCUAUAUCUGUUUGUAUUAGUUACUAUGCUGUUACUAAGCAGUAAUGUAUUACGGCAGUGUUAUAUUACUACACCUAAUAGGAAAUGCACAUGUGCACUAUUGGACCGGGGCUGUAGAGCACGAGAGGAUUUGACUAAACAAAACAAACUGUACUCCCGUCUCCUGCCUGGUCAUUUCUCUACAACACAAAUAUUACAGUGACAAGGUAGAGGUGGUAUACAGAAGAUAGCCCUAUUUGGUAAAAGACCAAGUCCAUAUUAUGGCAAGAACCGCUCAAAUAAGCAAAGAGAAAGGACAGCCCAUUAUUACUUUAAGACAUGAAGGUCAGUCGAUCCAGAAAAUGUCAAGAACUUUGAAAGUUCCUUCAAGUGCAGUUGCAAAAACCAUCAAGGGCUAUGAUGAAACUCGCUCUCAUGAGGACCGCCACAGAGAAGGAAGACCCAGAGUUAAGUUCAUUAGAGUUACCAGUCUCAGAAAUUGAAGCCCAAAUAAAUGCUUCACAGAGUUCAAGUAACAGACAUCUAAACAUCAACUGUUCUGAGGAGUGAAUCAGGCCUUAAUUGGCGAUUUUCUGCAAAGAAACCACUACUAAAGGACACCAAUCAGAAGAAGAGACUUGCUUGGGCCAAGAAACACGAGCAGUGGAAAUCUGUCCUUUGGUCUGACGAGUCCAAAUUCAAGAUUUUUGGUUCCAACCGGUGUCUUUGUGAAACGCAGAGUAAGUGAACUGAUGAUCUCUGCAUGUGUGGUUCCCACCGAGAAGCAUGGAGGAGGAGGUCUGAUGGUGUGGGGGUGCUUUGCUGGUGACACUGUCUGUGAUUUAUUUAGAAUUCAAGGCACACUUAACCAGCAUGGCUACCACAGCAUUCUGCAGCGAUACGCCAUGCUAUCUGGUUUGCUCUUAGUGGGACUAUAAUUUGUUUUCCAACAGGACAAUGACCCAACACACCUCCAGGCUGUAUAAGGGCUAUUAGACCAAGAAGGAGAGUGAUCACUGCUGCAUCAGAUGCACUGGCUCCCACAAUCACCCAACCUCAACUCAAUUGAGAUGGUAUGGGAUGAGUUGCAUCGCAGAGUGAAGGAAAAGCAGCCAACAAAUGCUCAGCAUAUGUGGGAACUCCUUCAAGACUGUUGGAAAAGCAUUCCAGGUGAAGCUGGGUGAGAAAAUGUCCAUUGUGGGCAAAGCUGUCAUCAAGGCAAAGGGUGGCUAUCUUGAAGAAUCUCAAAUAUAAAAUAUAUUUUGAUUUGUUUAAUACUUUUUUGAUUACUACAUGAUUCCAUAUGUGCUAUUUCAUAGUUUUGAUGUAUUCACUAUUAUUCUACAAUGUAGAAAAUAGUAAAAAUAAAGAAAAACCCUGGAAUGAGUAGGUGUGUCCAAACUUUAGACUGGUACUGUAUAUGACACAGUUUUAUUGAUAUUACCAAUGAUCUUGGCUUCAGGAUUUUCUUCUUUUAGCUCUGCUAUUCUCUUUUCUAUUUCACUUAUUUGAUUCUCAAGACUAAAACACGUUGCAUUAUUCUCCUUCAGCUGUUUCUGCAGGUCUGUUUUAAAAGGAAGGAGCAUAAUCUAUCAGACAUUCUUAUCAAAGUAACACAACAAUCAAAUAAAAAAUGAAAUUUAGGACACUGUGGGUUUUACACCUAAAGUAAUGAUUAGAGCAGACUAGCGCUGUAGGCCUGUAGUGAUAAACAAGACAGGAACAGAGGAAGUGGUCUUUACCUUUGUUUUCAGCCUGAACUCUGUCAAUCUCGUCCUCUUUGUCCUGAACUUGUUGCAGAAGUGCUGGAGUUCAAACAGUUCAUUUUGAUACACAUUAGAAAAUUAGAGCAUCAUACUUCACACAACCCAAUGAGGGUGUAUUCACAGGAGGGUGCAUUCACAGGAGGGUGCAUUCACAGGAGGGUGCAUUCACAGGAACAUUGGAGAUAAUGACAAUAAAGAUCUCACCAGUGAUCUGGGCUGCUGUUGUCUGCAUCUGCUGUGUUGUUUGUAUCUGUAAAUCCCUCUGUUCCCUCAUUAUAGAAAUUAUCUUCAUAACUGGACAGAGAAAGAAAAUGAGCAAAGUAACAGGGUGGGAUUAUUUUAGUCUGUAUCCCUUCUUCAAAUCAUAUUUCAUAAAUUGUUGAAAAUAGCUUUUCUAUUUUCUGGACAGUUAGAUAUGAUCAAAAAUAUCAAAUUUGCUGCUUCACUCACUCAGCUGUACACUAGUCUCGUCCUCCCCCUUCAGUUGUUUCUUCCAAGCUUCUU